UACACACCACCUCAGUUUCCUGUGAAUGUGAAUAUGACAAUGUAGUUUUCAGUGUGCCAACUGCUCCAUAGAGAACACUGAUGAUAAUACGUAUCAUAUUCCAAGGCAGAAAAUAGACAUAUUCUUUGACUUGCAGAGGAUACAGAGUAAUACCAAGCAAGUACUUUUUACUGUAUGUCUUACAAGUAUGCAAAAUAAUUUGAACCUUAAUGGGCACAGAAAACUUGUUGGCAGCAGCCUUUGAAAGAGGAAGCACGUAGUAUAAGUCAUGUUGUGCCAGAACAUGAAUGAACACUUGCUUUUGUAUUCUGCCUAAAAAAAUAAGAGAACAUGAUUCUUAUUCUUGAAACCAGCUGGUUUCUAAAAGCAGGUCAGUUGGGAGAUAAA
This 387-nucleotide long non-coding RNA is filed under the name Anas platyrhynchos platyrhynchos (common mallard). RNAcentral describes it as "lncRNA (ENSAPLG00000030497.1)". Lineage: Eukaryota; Metazoa; Chordata; Aves; Anseriformes; Anatidae. The record is from RNAcentral.